This is a long non-coding RNA of Homo sapiens (human), 2184 nucleotides long. Ensembl annotates it as SOX2 overlapping transcript. Its record names the gene SOX2-OT. NCBI's taxonomy places the organism in Eukaryota, Metazoa, Chordata, Mammalia, Primates, Hominidae. The record is from Ensembl.
AAGAAAAAAAAAGAAAAGAAAAAAAAGAGAACCACAGCUUUGGACAAAAGUCUAUAGCCAGUGCAUUUGAAAACUCCCCUUGCACCAGGGCUGACUGUAGCUGGGGGAAGACAUUUUACUCAUUUGCUCUUUCCUUUCAUACAGUCAGCUGGUCCCUCUUCUCAGGUGUAGAUCACCUAUUAUAAUUUUACCUAAUUUUGAUACUCUGAUAAGGAAAGUCCCAGGACUUAUCAGCUGGGAUAGGCCUCACUUACAAGACAGCUCUGUUCAGUAUUUGGAAGAAAGAAAGCCUGACAGGUUUCUUCGGAAAAGUGGCCAUCCAUGGAAUGAAUGAAAUGUUCUCUUUCUAUUCCACGCGGGUCCAAGCCUGUAGCCCCAAAUCGGAUAAUCUCUGCAGCUGAUAACAAGCAAAAGAGAAGCCAGGCAACAGCCAUAUUAAAGAAGAAAACAAUCAACUCUGAGAUCCAACUUAGAAAUAAUGUUUCAUUCAAGAUAAGGCUCGUGGCUUAGGAGAUUGUGACCUGGCUUGCAUCAUUCUAAGACUUCUAUCGUCUGUUUUCAAAACCCAAGGAGGACCUCCUUUUCUGUGUGAUAGUUCCUCAUGCUUUGCCAGCCACUGGGUCUUUAAGGAAGCUUGCCAAGAGUUCCCGGCUGGGAAGGACAGUUCGAGUUCAUCAUAGACAAUGAGCUGGCACCACAGUUUAAGUGACUCACCAACCUGGUUGCCCACUUCAAAAUGUCAAGAACCACACUAUCUAAUUGAAAGAACUGUGUUUUAGCAAAGUGUAAUUGGAUCGCCUGGCAAGAUCAUCUCAAACUAUGUCUCUGACCUUGCCUUUCAGUGGCUAUUUUGAGCACAAGAGGAGAAAGGAAAUGAUUCCUGAAUUAUAUCUUGUUUUUAAAAAUUAAGAUUAAUUAAUACUUGGUUUUAUGUUCAUUCCAUUGUAGGAACUUAGUGAUUAUUACAAAACAGUCAAAAUAGGUCAUAGCAAAAUGAACGUUUAAGAUUAGGUUAAAACAUUCCUCUGAAAUUUUAGUAUUCACUUUUGAAGUGUCAAUUACUAUAUUUCUGUAAUUUCUCAUUUUUUUCUUGGCUUAGAGUCAAGAUGAAAAAUGAUAUUUGAAUCAAAGACAUUGUUUUGUUAUAUAGCCACUCCUUUCUAAAAUGCAAAUCCACCCUCCCCUCACCAAUGCUUUAUUCUUUGUGCGCGCACACACACACACACACACACACACACACACACACACACACAGACAUACACAGAACCAGCACCCAAAUGGUAGAGGAGGUCCUUCCAAGACUUCUAGGACCUGGAUCAUGUAAGCAGUAGAUGAGAAAAUGAAGUAAGAGAUAUAGAGUAAUAACAAUAAAAGUCAAUGAUUUCAUUUUACAAAAAAGUCAUUGUGUAGUACUCAGAUAUUUUUAAGAGCAAGUAUUAUUAUGACUAAAGUAUAUUAUACUUCUAAAUUAUUAUGAUUCUCAUCUAAUUUCAAGCCACACAUAGGCGCCAUUUGAAAGCAUUUUGUGUUACAACCUAUCAACAAAAAUCAACUAAUAGUUUUAUAACGUGCAUAGGUUUACCCCAUGGGGAAUUAAAAUUUUUAUCUGCAAGUAUUUCUGUUGUUGUGAGACUUUAGGACAAGACAACAUUUGGUGUUAACAUAGAAGAAUAUUCUAUGGCUUUUUUAGCUUUAAAGUUCAUUACUCUAAAAUAAAGUACACGUGGUAUUUUUUUCUUCCUAGUGUUCUCUUAUUAUAUGUAGAGUAUUUUCGGUUGUUGUUUUUAACGUAUACAUUAUUUUUAUUAAGUCAUUUCAUAAAAGAUAAGAUAUAUACUAAUAGACCCUUGGUUUUCUCCUAAUUUAAUUAUUUCAAGUCAAGCAAAAUUGGGCAAUUUUCUUUCAGGAAAAAAAAAAUAUUGAGCAUGAUUUUGAGGUAAAACUGAUUAUUUACAGCAUCUUUUCUCUAAUAGGCUAACAUUUAUGAUGGAUCUUAUUUCAAAGUUGAUUAUUCUCAAAGAAAAGUGGAGAUAUUAGAAUUUCCGAGUAAAUUGCAUUGUUUUAAAAAGUACUUUAAUGCAUUGUUCACAUUGUUGCCAGCUAUUGACCAAAAAAGAGAAGAAGAAAAAAGAAAUAAAAAAAGCAGUAUCUGCUCCAAACGUCAAGUUUUGCAGUUUGAAAGAC